CGCCCCUUGGCGAAAAUUGCCCGAGACGGCGCGAGUUAGUAGCGAAGGCGAAAGCCCGCGAGGGCGAAGAAAG
Molecule: non-coding RNA, 73 nt
Submitted as: unclassified sequences
Source: Rfam